AUGAUUGGCGAUGAAGGAAAGCGGCAUACUGUCUCCGAUGGCCACGUCUUACCACGACUGGCAUCGGAGAAGGUAGUUGUUGCCUCCACUUCGCCCUCUGCUAUCAACAUUGAAGAAGAAUUUGAAGUUGAUAUCAUGCAAAACAUCAACCGGAGCUCCAACACCCCCAUCUCCGUGCACCGUGUUAUGUUUGGACCCGAAGGCUGGGCGGACCUACCACAUGGAUUAUUGCACUCCAUCAUUGUCCUGUUGGGUUCAACCCAUGACCUUCUUGCAUUCAUCGCCACCUGCCCUAGCUGGUAUGCCGCAUUCAUGUCAAUCAAUUCUACCUUAGGCGAGCUCUUCCCACCUGUUAUUUUCCGGAACUGUGCCGACCAGACAAGCUCAGCUGGCUCUAACAUUGGAAACACAUGGGAGCUCAUUGAUCCUGUAUAUCCAAGUACUCUGUUGUGUCGCUUGACCCCUCCAAGUAUUUUGGACAAAAUGGCAGUCGUCAAAUGUUCUUAUGGUCAUGCGAUUUUCUGCAACGAGAGAUCCCUUGUCAUUAUGGACGUGCUCACUGGCACUACAGUUGCAGCUCCACCUUUCCCAUUGAGUCAACUGUGCUACAAAACCUUCAUAUCUCCAGAGGCGUCACCAGAUUCAUAUCUAUUUGUUAGCAGCCCGCACUGCCUGUACGCUUGGCGAGUUGGGAGCCCCUCUUGGUUGCACUGCGAUUUUCUAAAUGCACAUUUGAUCAAGGAGAUGGUGUCCUUCAAAGGCCGGGUCAUUAUGAGGAUGCGUCAAACACUAUACACCGUGCAUUUGGCACCUCAGUUUCAUGUUGAGGUACUAAGAGUUGAUUGCAGAGAUUAUAUGGACCCGUACGUGCUUUCCGGAAAUUUGGUGGCUUGUGAAGACACACUUCUCCUACUUGGUCGUAACGGGGAAGCCUUCUCUAUUGACUUCUCAACUGAACCUGCAAAGUAUGUGAGCGUGGAAGAGGAAGGCUUGAAGAAGUGGGCGUUCUUCUUUGGCGAGAAACGUAAUAGACAGCCACGACUCUUAGUGAAUCCAGAGAGAAUGGGUUUAAGGGGUGGCCUUGUCUAUCAGUUGGAUGAAAAUGCUCGGGUAUUUUCAUACCCAGUAGAUGGCAACCAAAAUGAGGAGUUGGAGUCAGAACCUUGUUUUGCGACGAUCAAUGCUUAUCUUGCUCGCAAUCCUACAUCCUUUGCAGCUUGGGUAUGA
Molecule: ribosomal RNA, 1227 nt
Filed under: Triticum aestivum (bread wheat)
Lineage: Eukaryota; Viridiplantae; Streptophyta; Magnoliopsida; Poales; Poaceae
Description: partial small subunit ribosomal RNA
Source: RNAcentral